GCCGGGCGUGGUGGUGGGCGCCUGUAAUCCCAGCUACUUAGGAGGCUGAGUCAGGAGAAUCACUUGAACCUGGGAGGCAGGAGUUGCAGUGAGCCGAGAUUGUACCACUGCACUCCAGCCUGGGUGAUAGAGUGAGACUCUGUCUCAA
Unclassified non-coding RNA from Pongo abelii (Sumatran orangutan), 148 nucleotides. It matches the Rfam family "Metazoan signal recognition particle RNA". Rfam says of the family: The signal recognition particle (SRP) is a universally conserved ribonucleoprotein. It is involved in the co-translational targeting of proteins to membranes. NCBI's taxonomy places the organism in Eukaryota, Metazoa, Chordata, Mammalia, Primates, Hominidae. The record is from Ensembl.